AUCCAAACAGAGGCCAGAGAGAAAAAAGAGAGCGCGAUCCGCUUCGGACUUCCUUUUUCGCGCCUUUUCUCGCGCCCUAAUCUGCACUCUCAUUUGCGAUUUUUCUUCGUGAUGAUUUGAUGGAACUGGAAGAUCAUUUGACGAUAAACGGAUCAUAGACAGCGCGCGGACCUUCGAUCGUAGGAUCAGGAUCAGGCUCGUAGCUGUUGCUGUGUAAUAGGUUCUCGACAGAAAUUUCAAUGGCGAUAUUCUUAGCGUGUUCGAAUUUCUAUAUGUCUUCGAUACAAUGAAAUGCGGUAUGGUGCUCGUAAUCUGCUAAUAUUUUACGUAUCGCGCGUUCUAAUGAUGCUACUCUAGUUCAAAUUAUAAUCUUCCGACCGAAAACUGAUUAGCUUUGAUUUCGAACUUCGUAUAUGAAAUAGUGUUGAAGGAAAGUAAAGGUUAUCUACUAGCACACCUUGAGCUGAAUGUGUCCUUUACACAGACAAUUGAAUUUGAGAUGUCUCCUGUUUCAGAAAGGUAACGAAGCAUGUUAUAGAUGUAAAAUGACCGUUUACUAGCAUCCAAUAUGCGUUGUCUGUUCAUUGAAUUGUCAUUUCCACACUUUGGGGCAAAUUAUUUCACUCAGUUGAGUUUCUACUUCUGUAAUUUAUUUGGUUUUCAAUUGUUCUGCGACUCCUUGUAGUUAAUCAUGUCUGUAGUUAUAUUGCUUCCAUUAUGUAUCUAAUUCUAACCUACCUGGUUGUAAAUAACAAUGCAAGGAAGCUAUAA
Cucurbita moschata (crookneck pumpkin) is the source of this 771-nucleotide long non-coding RNA. RefSeq lists it as uncharacterized. The transcript has 4 exons. The record is from RefSeq and is a predicted model, not a curated record. NCBI's taxonomy places the organism in Eukaryota, Viridiplantae, Streptophyta, Magnoliopsida, Cucurbitales, Cucurbitaceae.